Molecule: long non-coding RNA, 1067 nt
Organism: Dromiciops gliroides (monito del monte)
Lineage: Eukaryota; Metazoa; Chordata; Mammalia; Microbiotheria; Microbiotheriidae
Exons: 4
Source: RefSeq, a predicted model, not a curated record
CCAGGUAAUGGACCUUUUCCUGCAGGCCUGCACUCUCUGCCUCUACACGGUUCAGCAAGUUUCGGUGGAUCUGGUCCUAGGAGGAGGGGGAGGCACCAGCAAGUAACCAAGGAGCUCAAGGCAGUGCAGGGGAAGUCUAGAACCAGAAGCUAUGGCCUAACAAAACUAACCGACAAGGCACAGAUAAUGGGAUGAGAGGCCUGGUUAGAUGUCAGCUCCUAGGCAAAGACCUGGUGAACUACAAGCUGAGCACAAGUCAACAGCAGGACAUAGAAGACAUAGGACAAGAGAAGAGAAGCGUUAUGUCCCAGGUCCCCAACCUCCAGCCUAUGUGACUGCGAAGAAAGAUUGAGAAAUGAAGUCAGACAUAUGGAGAGAAAGAGUAGAAGGAGGCAGCGAGGGAGAGAUGAAUGGUAUAGUAAAGAGUGAGUUAGAAAGAGGAGACCAGGUCUCCUGCUCUGUGACCUCUCUGGAAAGGUCCUGGUAGUGGGCUUGUUCCAUUGCUGGAUCUAACACCUGCCCCUUCUCCUCAGGAGAUGCAGAGACCAUAACUCCUCCGGCCUCUAGAGAAGGCACCCUCCAGGGAGAAGAGUCUCUGCGCCACCUGGAUCAAUGAAGUUCUCCCUAGCUUCCUCCCAAGAAGAGGUUCCACAAUUAGGUGGAAACAAGAGCCAAUCUUAUUUGCAUGGAGUGCAGAGCCCAGCAGGGUGCGUCAGGCUCUUGGAACAUAUGGGCCAGAGAACUGUGGCCACCCCAGCUAAUGGGAACGACCUUCCAUGGGUGCCCAGGAUCUUGGGAGCAAUGCUGCUUUAUCUUUCCUUAAAUUAUGGUAAGCCUCUAACCUUUGAGAAUAAUGAAAAAACAAACCCCAAAACCCGAGGCAUUUCAAACAUUGUGUUUCUCAUUUCAUAGGCCUGCACCUGGAAACUCUUCUGAGGAUCACUGGGUCUCUACCAGAGUCCUCAGGAAAGAGAACGAGUCAGAGCACCAGCCUCCCCCUUCUUCCUCCCACAAGCAAACGUCACUUCCUGAUGCCAAAGAAAAGACUCAUGGUCUUGCCCUCAGAG